CAACCGUUCACUCUGAACUUAAUCUUUAAUAACAAGAACUUGAUCUCUAUAUUCUUGAAUUUGUUGAGUUCCUUGUUAUUGAAAAUAGAACUAAUAAUUUAUUGUCACAAAUAACUUUAGUGGUAUUUUAAUUUCUUAUCCACUAUGUGCAGCCCCGUGACAAAGUUCUAUAAUCAGAUGCCUCAUGAUAUGUUAUCUUUGCAUCCAACAAAAUCGGAGUCAGUACACCAAAUGAUCUCAAGAAAAAGAUCUGACCUCCAAUACAUGAGCAUGUAGUCUUUUGUUCUCUUUAACUAUUGUAUGACCCAUUUGACUGCUUCAAAUGAUCUAAUCUUAAAUUUCUUAAAUAUCUGCCCAACAUCCCAAAAAUUGUACGCAAUACCUGAACGCAUACAAAACUGAAUAUACAUUAGACUCCCUACUACUUAUCAUAAGGAAUCUUCUGCACUUACUUUUCUUUAAAGUUAUUCAUAGGGCACUGUUUGAGACAAAACUUGUCUCCCUUAGCCACAUGGUUUACCGUCUUGUCAUUGACAAACAAAACCAAGAAAAUAUAUUUGCU
This 562-nucleotide long non-coding RNA is filed under the name Trifolium pratense (red clover). RNAcentral describes it as "long non-coding RNA (TPRA_LNC002683)". Lineage: Eukaryota; Viridiplantae; Streptophyta; Magnoliopsida; Fabales; Fabaceae. The record is from RNAcentral.